RNAcentral lists this ribosomal RNA (492 nucleotides) under uncultured bacterium. RNAcentral describes it as "bacterial SSU rRNA". It matches the Rfam family "Bacterial small subunit ribosomal RNA", at positions 38 to 507 of the family's 1533-position model. The record is from RNAcentral.
GGCGGCGUGCCUAACACAUGCAAGUCGUACGAGAAAGCCGGCUUCGGCUGGUGAGUAAAGUGGCGCACGGGUGAGUAACGCGUGGAUAAUCUGCCCUUAAGUGUGGAAUAACGUACCGAAAGGUGCGCUAAUACCGCAUAAUGCCUGGCAACACAAGUUGUCCGGCCAAAGAAGGCCUCUGUUUACAAGCUUUCGCUUCAGGAUGAGUCCGCGUACCAUUAGCUUGUUGGUGGGGUAAUGGCCUACCAAGGCUGCGAUGGUUAGCUGGUCUGAGAGGAUGAUCAGCCACACUGGAACUGAGACACGGUCCAGACUCCUACGGGAGGCAGCAGUGAGGAAUAUUGCGCAAUGGGGCAACCCUGACGCAGCAACGCCGCGUGAGUGAGGAAGGUUUUCGGACUGUAAAGCUCUGUCGAGCGGGAAGAAGUGUACCGUGGCUAAUAUCCAUGAUAUUUGACGGUACCGCUAGAGGAAGCACCGGCUAACUCCGUG